CUAGAUAUAAGAGAUAAACCUAUUAUCACCAUGCUUGAGAUAAUUAGAACCAAGUUAAUGAAGAUACUUUUUGCAAAGAGAGAAACAAUGCAGAGUUUUUAAGGAUCAAUUUGUCCUAAAAUCCAUAAAAAAAAAAAACUUGAUGAAACGAAGGAGUGUAGUUGUUUGUUUCAAGCACGCUUUUCUAGGGGUUUACAUAUUCAAGUGCUUGGUGGUGGA
Molecule: long non-coding RNA, 219 nt
Filed under: Manihot esculenta (cassava)
Lineage: Eukaryota; Viridiplantae; Streptophyta; Magnoliopsida; Malpighiales; Euphorbiaceae
Description: long non-coding RNA (MESC_LNC000428)
Source: RNAcentral